Long non-coding RNA from Notolabrus celidotus (New Zealand spotty), 648 nucleotides. RefSeq lists it as uncharacterized. Lineage: Eukaryota; Metazoa; Chordata; Actinopteri; Labriformes; Labridae. The transcript is spliced from 3 exons. The record is from RefSeq and is a predicted model, not a curated record.
AUUCCCAAACUUUACUACACCCCAGAUUAUUCUCUCAUAGUUUCUGUAUGCGGUGAUGCACGGGAGAGUUGUACUCUCAAAUACGUGAUGUGCAGUACCUUUACUUUCAUUUCCUCUAGACCCACAGUUGCUACAGUGCUGGUGUGCUGCUUGUUCUUUUUUUCCUCUUUUUGGGGCCUCAGCAGGCGUUGAAGACGGUGCUUGAUCAUCUGAUUUCACCCGUUGCACAGCAGCAGCAGGGAGGUAAAAAAGCAAGGCAUGUGCACCAUCCUGCAGCUGCACACUCGCAGCACCUCGUUGGUUUCACACAGCAAACGACAGGCACUGAUGCUGUAUGUGUCGUAUCCUGGGAACUUUUCUUUGCUGGUGGAGCGGCAGUUCCCCCAGGGCUGGGGCAGGUCUGGAAGCCCGGAGAGACACCAAAGCCCAGCUGGUGGAUGUAGGGAGGCUCGUCCUGACUGUGUAUCUGAACUCGGAUACCUGCCUCCAGGGAAGUCUCAUCUUCAAGAUGAAACAGCACGAGCAAAGAGCGUUGCAAAAGGGGAGGACAAGAGAAUUUCAAAUGGCUGCCUCAUUUCACAGCUUGGACUCAGCUUGACACUACAAACCAUAUUUCAAUUGUGUUUCAGAUAAUAAACCAGUGGGGAU